AGCGCGGUGUUACGAAGAUCCCCUCUGCCGACGCCGCGACGUCGGGUGCAAAACUCU
RNAcentral lists this small RNA (57 nucleotides) under Sinorhizobium meliloti 2011. Its description in RNAcentral is "putative ncRNA". The record is from RNAcentral. Lineage: Bacteria; Pseudomonadati; Pseudomonadota; Alphaproteobacteria; Hyphomicrobiales; Rhizobiaceae.